GAUGAACGCUGGCGGCGUGCUUAACACAUGCAAGUCGAACGGGAAAUAUUUCAUUGAGACUUCGGUGGAUUUGAUUUAUUUCUAGUGGCGGACGGGGGAGUAACGCGUGGGUAACCUGCCUUAUACAGGGGGAUAACAGUCAGAAAUGGCUGCUAAUACCGCAUCAGCGCACAGAGCUGCAUGGCUCAGUGUGAAAAACUCCGGUGGUAUAAGAUGGACCCGCGUUGGAUUAGCUAGUUGGUGGGGUAACGGCCCACCAAGGCGACGAUCCAUAGCCGGCCUGAGAGGGUGAACGGCCACAUUGGGACUGAGACACGGCCCAGACUCCUACGGGAGGCAGCAGUGGGGAAUAUUGCACAAUGGGGGAAACCCUGAUGCAGCGACGCCGCGUGAAGGAAGAAGUAGCUCGGUAUGUAAACUUCUAUCAGCAGGGAAGAUAGUGACGGUACCUGACGAAGAAGCCCCGGCUAACUACGUG
This 478-nucleotide ribosomal RNA is filed under the name uncultured bacterium. Its description in RNAcentral is "partial 16S ribosomal RNA". It matches the Rfam family "Bacterial small subunit ribosomal RNA", at positions 28 to 507 of the family's 1533-position model. The record is from RNAcentral.